CAGUAUCUUCUUUUGUUAAAAAUCAAUUGAUUCCCAUUGGUUCAGGCUUCAGAAUCUUUUUUUUUUUUUUUUUGGGGGGGGGGGGGGGGGCCAGAAAUAUUUGGUGGGGGGGGGGGGGUAGGGACCAAGACUAUUGGUUGUGGCCUGACCUAAAAUCUUAUAAAGUAACCCAAUGCUCUGCCUCUCCAGAACAAACAGCCAGUGCUCUCUGCCGAGAGGCAGCAAUGGCUGCUUAGCAAGUUGCCUCCUCUGAACACAUCGUUAUUGGGUUGACUCAGGAGCUGCUUCACAAAAUGCAGGACCUGCUUCCCAUUUUUGUUCUGAUUGCAUCGGAGCUGCUGGAUCUCUCUGGUGCCCCCAGAGCCGAGCACCAUGUUGGUGGAGCCUCAGACCUGAGCUUUCCUGGAGAACCCCAACCAAUAUCUGGGACCAGUCCGCUGUCAGUCACAGAGGAUGACUUGGGUGAGGCAACCAAUUAUGUUCAGACUCCGGCGGCCGAUCCUACAAAUGAAAUGACAGCAGACUUCAUUCCCAGCCACACAGAGGUGGCUGCAAGAGCAACAGGCACACUGCCAGUGGAGCCAGUGAGGGAUGUGGAAGGGUCUGAGCGAGGGCACACGACAGCUGCUGUAAAGCUCCAGGACAGACAGCCAUUUCCUAACGAGCUCUUGAGCAGCACAAGCAGCCCCAUUUCCACACGAGGGCCACAGGCUGCCACCCACCCACAUCCCUCAGGAAAGGCUGCCACUAUUAGCAGCCCAGCCAGCUCUGAUGCUGGCACACCUCAGCCCAUUCCCAGUGCAGGGGUGCAGCAAGGUGUUCCUGCCUUGUCCACCCCGGGCAUCCAGCAGACGGAGGCACCAAGACUUGAAACAUCUCCUCUGACUUCAACAGUACCUUUCCAUCCUCCCAGAAAAGAAACAGCAUCUCCGUUUCCCACCAGAGAGAAGAUGGUGACCAAUCCACCAUCAGCACCUCCCACCAGCAAAAGGCCGAGAGAUGCGAGCCCCCAGGCACAGCCCCACAGCAGAGCUGCACAGCCUCGGGGUGUGGCUGCUAAGGUCACCACUUCUGCAUUCCUACCAAAACCAGCUUCAGGGGACCCUACCACAGUUCCUUCCAGAACAACACAGACAACUGCUGGUUACUUCUCCCCUAUGAAGCGAGAGAUGGCAGGCAGCGAGGGCAGGAGCUCAACAGCAGCCAUAGUAAGUGGGUCUGGACACACAGCCCAGCUGCCUGCACUGCAGGACGUUCUGCAAGGCCACGCACACUCCUCUUCCCCGCUGAUGCCUCUGGAAGCCCUGGAUCAUGAUUUACCCCACUCUCCAUCUCAAGAGCUCACUAAUGCUGCUGACGGACCGCAGCCUCUCCCUUUGCCUCGGACUCACAGCUGUACCAAACACCACUCCUCCCAGGAAGACCACAGGAGCUCUCAAGGAAGCACAGCCCUGGUUUUGCAAAAAGAUGCUGAUCACCAGAUGACAAGUAAACCCGAAAAAUCCAGAUUCCCUGAGAAGCCACAGGUUUCUGCUAGUGCAUCUUCAGUAAGCCAGUCACAGGUGUCCACCUUAAACGUUUCCCAAACUACUACAGGGACAAAAGGAGCUACAUCUGCAUUCUCCCUGGGCACACCCACCCUGGAGCACGCAGACCUUCGAGCUGUGAGCACUCCUGUUGUUCCUGCAGCACUUCAGCCAGCGGGUGUAUCUGCUCCUCCUGCUGGACCCCAGAUAGCGGGCAUCCCCACUUCUGCUGGGCAAGGACUUCACAUACCAACUUCACCCACUUCAGCUCAUUCCAGGUCUCUGCACCCACCUUUUGCUCAGGAAAGCCUGCCCAGCACAACUGCACAUCCCAGUGUGGUGGAGGCCGCUGUUUCUGAUGGGAUCCCAGCACACCUGGCACAGCUGCUGGUGCAGCAGUUGGAUACAUCACACCACACACCUACCAAAAACCUCAGUGCUAUUGGAACCGAUCACCUUAGCAUGUUACCAUCAUUCCCAUAUUUGUCCUUCCUGCUUAGAAAUACCGAUGGCAUGCUAUGCCUGCUUCCCACACAGGAUUCCCCUUUGCCUAUGCAAUUCCCGAAUAUCAGCAUUGGGACUCUGGUUUCUGCUCAGCAAAUCCUCACAGUGUCAAAUUCUUCGUUAUUAGAUCUAGGGGACUUACCAAACAUGAGUCUUUCCAGCUUAAUCCUGGUUAAGCCCAUAUUUAUCCUCUUUCCCACCGACAGACCAGGCUUACAAGGGAGGCCCUCUCCUGAGGGUGAAGGCAAACACAAAACCCUGUUGUUCAGCAACCAGCAAGGUGUGAAUGCAAUUACUGCUGAGCACAGCCAUGACAUCCCGCUGGUGUCCGCACGCAUCCCCCGUACUGCCCCCAAAGCACCUCUCACAGCUGGGAAGUUGCUUUCGUUAUCACUGCCAGCGGUAGAACUGCCCGAUCCCCCACUCCCAGCCCAGCCUCCGUUUGCAAUCACAGAGGCAGUAGAUCCGGCUCAGCCCAGCAAGGAGGCAGCUCUGCAAGACACCGGCCUGGGCUCAGCCCCCGCACCGUCUUCUGCCCGUGCACAGUGCGCUGAGUGUCUGCGCUCAGCCAGGACCACGAAUUACCCAUUGAGGGUGUCCACAAGCACUGUGCCUCUGCAGUCCACAACGCAAAGCUCCGAGCCGCUCCAAAGGCUGCCAUCACCAGCUGGGAUUGCGCCCAGCACCGUACCAGCAUCCCCAGCGCCUCCCACUGGCAGCGACAGGAGAGGUUCAGCUGCGGGCAGCACCGCCUGUCCGGGAGUGGCUCUGCAUCCCAGGGCAGCACCAACCUCACCCUCAUCUCUGAGCCCCGGCCUUGCCAAGCACCUGGAGCUCACACCCACCGCGCCCAAGCCCUCUGCAGUGAUGGAGACCCCAACACCAGUGCUGUCACCAUUUUCAGCAAAGGUUCACGUGAAAACAACAACGUCUGGGAAGCUGCUGGCUGCAGUUACCCGUCCCAGAAUGUACACCGGGUCCCCUGCAAGCCCGCCUUCCUCUGUGGCCACGCACAUUCUCCUGCCAUCAGCCACAAAACACGACCGGAGCACCCGAGCACCAGGCAAUGUGGGAGAAGAUGCAGAGCCAGCUGAAGUCAGCACGAGUGCAAGGAAAACAGGACUCGCAGGAAGCAGCACUCCUCUGCCAGCUGUGUUUAACUCGAGGCCGGAGCAGCACCCCGCAGCAGUGCAGGACAGCGAGGCUGCUUUAGCCCCAAUGCAAUCUGAGGCUGCAGAAGCUGGGAUUGAGACACACAGCUCCGCUGGGCAGCACCCUGGACCGCCUACAACAGGAUCGGCUGUGGGGCUGCCCCUGAGCACUGAGGAAGAAGAGGAGGCCGGACCCCGCGAGGUGACAGAAGAAGCAGCCGAAGGCUCAGUGACCGAGCUCACACCGCUGGGGUCACAGCCGGGAGAGCCCCGCCGCCGCAGCGCCGUGCAGCCGGAGGGCGCCGUGCUGAGCGGGUAAUUGG
RNAcentral lists this long non-coding RNA (3504 nucleotides) under Chrysolophus pictus (golden pheasant). Its description in RNAcentral is "lncRNA (ENSCPIG00010010228.1)". The record is from RNAcentral. Lineage: Eukaryota; Metazoa; Chordata; Aves; Galliformes; Phasianidae.